UUGAGCUUGGUAUGCUUAUCAGCCUG
This 26-nucleotide non-coding RNA is filed under the name Rattus norvegicus (Norway rat). The record is from RNAcentral. Lineage: Eukaryota; Metazoa; Chordata; Mammalia; Rodentia; Muridae.